This 75-nucleotide transfer RNA is filed under the name Candidatus Magasanikiibacteriota bacterium. RNAcentral describes it as "tRNA-Met". It matches the Rfam family "tRNA". From Rfam's summary of the family: Transfer RNA (tRNA) molecules are approximately 80 nucleotides in length. Lineage: Bacteria; Candidatus Magasanikiibacteriota. The record is from RNAcentral.
GACAGAGUAGCUCAGUCUGGUAAGAGCGGAGGAUUCAUAACCCUCAGGUCGGGAGUUCGACUCUCCCCUCUGUCA